AAUAGAUACCCGGGUAGUCCACGCCGUAAACGAUGAGUGCUAAGUGUUAGAGGGUUUCCGCCCUUUAGUGCUGCAGCUAACGCAUUAAGCACUCCGCCUGGGGAGUACGGCCGCAAGGCUGAAACUCAAAGGAAUUGACGGGGGCCCGCACAAGCGGUGGAACAUGUGGUUUAAUUCGAAGCAACGCGAAGAACCUUACCAGGUCUUGACAUCCUCUGACAACCCUAGAGAUAGGGCUUUCCCCUUCGGGGGACAGAGUGACAGGUGGUGCAUGGUUGUCGUCAGCUCGUGUCGUGAGAUGUUGGGUUAAGUCCCGCAACGAGCGCAACCCUUGAUCUUAGUUGCCAGCAUUCAGUUGGGCACUCUAAGGUGACUGCCGGUGACAAACCGGAGGAAGGUGGGGAUGACGUCAAAUCAUCAUGCCCCUUAUGACCUGGGCUACACACGUGCUACAAUGGAUGGUACAAAGGGCUGCAAACCUGCGAAGGUAAGCGAAUCCCAUAAAGCCAUUCUCAGUUCGGAUUGCAGGCUG
RNAcentral lists this ribosomal RNA (532 nucleotides) under uncultured bacterium. RNAcentral describes it as "bacterial SSU rRNA". It matches the Rfam family "Bacterial small subunit ribosomal RNA", at positions 777 to 1307 of the family's 1533-position model. The record is from RNAcentral.